GACAGAGGGGGCAAGCGUUGCUCGGAAUCACUGGGCGUAAAGGGCUCGUAGGCGGCCAACUAAGUCAGACGUGAAAUCCCUCGGCUUAACCGGGGAACUGCGUCUGAUACUGGAUGGCUCGAGGACAGGAGAGGAACGCGGAAUUCCAGGUGUAGCGGUGAAAUGCGUAGAUAUCUGGAGGAACACCGGUGGCGAAGGCGGCGUUCUGGACUGUUUCUGACACUGAAAAACGAAAGCCAGGGGAGCAAACGGG
Molecule: ribosomal RNA, 253 nt
Filed under: uncultured prokaryote
Description: partial 16S ribosomal RNA
Rfam family: Bacterial small subunit ribosomal RNA
Source: RNAcentral